Non-coding RNA from Salvelinus sp. IW2-2015, 1984 nucleotides. The record is from RefSeq and is a predicted model, not a curated record. NCBI's taxonomy places the organism in Eukaryota, Metazoa, Chordata, Actinopteri, Salmoniformes, Salmonidae.
UCCAUCACUCCGGACUGGGCCAGGAGGGAGGCGCAAAGGGAUCGGCUAAACAAGAUUCUGCUGGAUCUGCUACACAGAACACCCAAUAAGAACGCCAUAGAUGUCACUUAUCUUCUAGAGGAGGGGUCAGGACGGCGAUUACGUAGACGGACACUUGGAUUUGGAGACUUUGUGGUUAGAAAAUGAUGUUGCCACUUACCUGGCAAGCACAUUCCCCUUUCAUUUACUUGGGAGAGGUGGGGGGGAAAUGGAAAGAGGGAAGACGACAUUUACAAAGAGAAGGUGACCACAAAGUGAAAAGGUUGGUCCCCUUCUCUGACCCCCCUUCGGGUGGUGUCCCCUCUUCCCCAACCUUUCAUCUCAAGUGAUGAAACAACUCAACAAAUAAACGGUUUGAAGCAUUGCACUCAGCAGUCGUGAUCAUUGAUAACGGUUUUGUAGGGGACCCAAGGACUUCUCAGGAGGGUGGACCCAGACUUAUUGAAGUACAAUGCAAAUGCAUAUUUUAUUUUUAAUUUUUUUACAUAGGAAAAUGUACCCCAUGCACUUAAAAAUGCGCAUUGAACAUAUAUUCAUCAAAGACGGCCCUGUUACUUGGGACAGAGAGACAAUUACAUAGGUGUCACAUUAUCCAUACAUGGCUCAUCAGUGCAACCUUGAGUCAAUUAUUUUUGAUGAGCAAAAUAAAGGAACAAAGUGGUACUGAACAUGGCUGUGGCAUACAGCCAUAGACUCAUAUUGACUUCGUUUUUUUAAACAACAUCAAAUGGGAAUGAGAACACUGGAGACUGGCGCCCCCUAGUGAGACUAAGUGGUGAUGACAAACUAAACGUAGGGUUAAUGUACCAGAACUAUGCUCAGAGGCUAUGCAGUGUACAGUAAGCAUACACUGUUGACGAUGAACUAGGAGAGAAGCAGCAGGAACGAGGUUGGUCAACUGCACUUUGGUACCAUGGAUAUUGUUGGCGCUCUGUAAUGUAUCAACGAGACACACUAACACAGUAUUGGAUGAUGCCGUCUGAAAAGCAAGUUAAUAAGUAUAUUAUCUUAUAUAUAUAUAUAUAUAUAUAUAGGAACAGAGAAGGAAGGACGGGAGAAUGGCUGGUGGUCUCUGGGAAGAUGGAGUGUACGCUUUUGGUCAGUCAAGUGUCUUGUUCGGUUUGUGAGGCAGUCCACUUCACCCCUCUUUCUGAAGUACCUGAUUCACCAGCUUAACUAAGUCAGGUGGCGGAACACUGGCUCUUACUGUAACGCCUUAGAACGCCGUGAUCCCUGACUGCCUUGCGUGAGUGUGUGUAUGCACAUUUGUGUGUCAGUAAUCUGCCAGAAUUCUUGAAGAAAAAAAGAAAAAAAUUAAGGGCUUGAUGGCAAUUAACAUUUUAUGGGAAAUUAUGGAAACAUAAAAUGUAUCGUGAUGGUCAUAUUUUCAUAUAUUCUGUGAGGGGUAUUUGUUGGGAGGGAGGGAAUUCUAGCUGUACAUUUUAUUCUUCAAAUGUGUUCUGGUUGCCAUGGAGAAUACUUUUAAAUAAUUUGUGUGAUUUGAUGAGAUUUCUUUUUUUCAAACGCUUCUGUUUAAAAUGGAACUUUGACCCGAAAUGUCCUAUCAAGAUGGACUGACAGAACGAGAGAGUAAAGAAACUGACAGAAAGAGGACAGAAAGUUGUACAGUGCCAAGUUAUGUAUAUACAGACUGGGAUAAUGUGAGAAGUGUCUCCAAAAGCAAUAUCUUGAUAACAGAUUUUGUGUAUUAUUGUAUUGUACAGAACUCAGACCCAUAUGUAUUAUUAUAAUGAUUGUCUGCCAUUUGUAUUACUAUAAUCGAGACACUUAAGCUUGAAGGGGAAAGAAGAGGUGUUUUUGUCCAGUAAAAUGUACCACAACUGUCCUAAUGAAUGACAUAAGAACUUCACCUGAAUUUUUUGUUCCCUAAAAAUGAAAUUCAUCUAUGUACUGCAUGAGCGAGAAGAAUGUCAAACGAACUUCA